Quercus robur (English oak) is the source of this 142-nucleotide small nucleolar RNA. RefSeq annotates it as small nucleolar RNA snoR135. The record is from RefSeq and is a predicted model, not a curated record. The transcript has a single exon. Lineage: Eukaryota; Viridiplantae; Streptophyta; Magnoliopsida; Fagales; Fagaceae.
AGAGCAGGGAUUGUGUGUAUCGGAGUUGUGCUCAGUGCACUUUGUUUCCGAAAGAGUUCCCUGCAAAAUCAAUCUGGGGGAGGUGGGCAGUUGUGUUUCAUCUUAACCAUUGAUAUCAUCAACAAUCAUCUUCCCCACAUCA